UCUCGAUGAAAUGAUGCUUUUGAAACCGUGUUGGGGUGUUGCUUCCCAAGUGUGCGCCUGACCAAGAACAGCGCAGGAAGGCCAUGAGCCCAGUACACUCCCUCCAUCUCCCAUCUCUGUUCUUUCUGGGUUACCUGACCUGACAUCCCCCUUCCCAAGAACAAGAAUCAUUUUUGAGAGCUGUGAACGUUUCCUGGGUAUCCACAGAUGUCUGGAAGUCAAGACUGGAAACAAACACAGCGCCAAGAUAGCAAGCAACCAGAAAGUGCUCACUUCAAAAUAAACAGGGUCUUUGGAACAUGUGCAGGCUGGCCUGGAACUUGCUGCCUAACAGACUGACCUCCAGAUCCUCGUCCCGCAGUCUCCUCAGUGCCAAGACUACAGUUAUGCCCUGCCAUAGCUCAGUCGCCUCUUCUCUUGAAACUGAUUGGGAGAUUCUGACAGUAUGUUAGUUACUUUAAAUGUGUGUGACAGCCUGCUUCUGCAGACCAGACAUCCCUCAAACUAACU
Molecule: long non-coding RNA, 510 nt
Organism: Psammomys obesus (fat sand rat)
Lineage: Eukaryota; Metazoa; Chordata; Mammalia; Rodentia; Muridae
Exons: 3
Source: RefSeq, a predicted model, not a curated record